GGUAAGAUGACAGAGUGGUUAUGUAGUGCACUGCAAAUGCAUUUUAUAUCGGUUCAAAUCCGGUUCUUACUU
Molecule: transfer RNA, 72 nt
Filed under: Candidatus Vidania fulgoroideorum
Lineage: Bacteria; Pseudomonadati; Pseudomonadota; Betaproteobacteria
Description: tRNA-Cys
Rfam family: tRNA
About the family: Transfer RNA (tRNA) molecules are approximately 80 nucleotides in length.
Source: RNAcentral